RNAcentral lists this ribosomal RNA (429 nucleotides) under uncultured archaeon. Its description in RNAcentral is "bacterial SSU rRNA". It matches the Rfam family "Archaeal small subunit ribosomal RNA", at positions 474 to 903 of the family's 1478-position model. The record is from RNAcentral.
UACCUGCAGCUCGAGUGGUAACCGCUAUUAUUGGGCCUAAAGCGUCCGUAGCCGGUUUGGUAAAUAUCUGGGUAAAUCGUGAGGCUUAACUUCACGAAUUUCGGAUAGACUGCCAGACUUGGGAUCGGGGGAGGUCAGAGGUACUCCAGGGGUAGCGGUAAAAUGUUGUAAUCCUUGGAGGACCACCGGUAGCGAAGGCGUCUGACUAGAACGAGUCCGACGGUGAGGGACGAAGCCCUGGGGCGCAAACCGGAUUAGAUACCCCGGGUAGUCCAGGGUGUAAACGAUGUGGGCUUUGUAUUGGAGGUCCCACGUGGGCGUCCAGUGCAGAAGAGAAGUUGUUAAGCCCACCGCCUGGGAAGUACGGUCGCAAAGCUGAAACUUAAAGGAAUUGGCGGGGAGCACAGCAACGGGAGGAGCGUGCGGUUU